Molecule: ribosomal RNA, 741 nt
Filed under: uncultured bacterium
Lineage: Bacteria
Description: bacterial SSU rRNA
Rfam family: Bacterial small subunit ribosomal RNA
Source: RNAcentral
AGAGUUUGAUCAUGGCUCAGAGCGAACGCUGGCGGCAGGCCUAACACAUGCAAGUCGAACGAUCCCUUCGGGAUAGUAGCGGACGGGUGAGUAACACGUGGGAACGUGCCCUUUGGUUCGGAAUAACUCAGGGAAACUUGAGCUAAUACCGGAUGUGCCCUUCGGGGGAAAGAUUUAUCGCCAUUGGAGCGGCCCGCGUUGGAUUAGCUAGUUGGUGGGGUAAAGGCCCACCAAGGCUACGAUCCAUAGCUGGUCUGAGAGGAUGAUCAGCCACACUGGGACUGAGACACGGCCCAGACUCCUACGGGAGGCAGCAGUGGGGAAUCUUGCGCAAUGGGCGAAAGCCUGACGCAGCCAUGCCGCGUGAAUGAUGAAGGUCUUAGGAUUGUAAAAUUCUUUCACCGGGGACGAUAAUGACGGUACCCGGAGAAGAAGCCCCGGCUAACUUCGUGCCAGCAGCCGCGGUAAUACGAAGGGGGCUAGCGUUGCUCGGAAUUACUGGGCGUAAAGGGAGCGUAGGCGGACUGUUUAGUCAGAGGUGAAAGCCCAGGGCUCAACCUUGGAAUUGCCUUUGAUACUGGCAGUCUUGAGUACGGAAGAGGUAUGUGGAACUCCGAGUGUAGAGGUGAAAUUCGUAGAUAUUCGGAAGAACACCAGUGGCGAAGGCGACAUACUGGUCCGUUACUGACGCUGAGGCUCGAAAGCGUGGGGAGCAAACAGGAUUAGAUACCCUGGUAGUCC